CAGUAGCCGCGGUAAUACGAAGGGUGCAAGCGUUACUCGGAAUUACUGGGCGUAAAGCGUGUGUAGGUGGUUGUUUAAGUCUGUCGUGAAAGCCCUGGGCUCAACCUGGGAAUUGCGAUGGAUACUGGGCGACUAGAGUGCGGUAGAGGAUAGUGGAAUUUCCGGUGUAGCAGUGAAAUGCGUAGAGAUCGGAAGGAACAUCUGUGGCGAAGGCGACUAUCUGGGCCAACACUGACACUGAGACACGAAAGCGUGGGGAGCAAACAGGAUUAGAGACCCGUGUAGUCCCUGUCUCUUAUAC
RNAcentral lists this ribosomal RNA (301 nucleotides) under uncultured bacterium. RNAcentral describes it as "partial 16S ribosomal RNA". It matches the Rfam family "Bacterial small subunit ribosomal RNA", at positions 509 to 807 of the family's 1533-position model. The record is from RNAcentral.